CACGUAGGGGGCGAGCGUUGUCCGGAUUUAUUGGGCGUAAAGAGCUCGUAGGCGGUUCGAUAAGUCGGGUGUGAAAACUCUGGGCUCAACUCAGAGACGCCACCCGAUACUGUUGUGACUUGAGUCCGGUAGGGGAGUAUGGAAUUCCCGGUGUAGCGGUGAAAUGCGCAGAUAUCGGGAGGAACACCAGUGGCGAAGGCGGUACUCUGGGCCGGAACUGACGCUGAGGAGCGAAAGCGUGGGUAGCGAACCGG
This 254-nucleotide ribosomal RNA is filed under the name uncultured bacterium. Its description in RNAcentral is "partial 16S ribosomal RNA". It matches the Rfam family "Bacterial small subunit ribosomal RNA", at positions 524 to 776 of the family's 1533-position model. The record is from RNAcentral.